GCCCGGAUGGUGAAAUUGGUAGACACGCUAGGUUCAGGGUCUAGUGGCUGUAAGGCCGUGGAGGUUCAAGUCCUCUUCCGGGCA
RNAcentral lists this transfer RNA (84 nucleotides) under Spirochaetaceae bacterium. RNAcentral's name for it is "tRNA-Leu". It matches the Rfam family "tRNA". From Rfam's summary of the family: Transfer RNA (tRNA) molecules are approximately 80 nucleotides in length. Their secondary structure includes four short double-helical elements and three loops (D, anti-codon, and T loops). Lineage: Bacteria; Pseudomonadati; Spirochaetota; Spirochaetia; Spirochaetales; Spirochaetaceae. RNAcentral also lists the same sequence under 1 other name. The record is from RNAcentral.